CAGUAGCCGCGGUAAUACGUAGGUGGCAAGCGUUGUCCGGAAUUAUUGGGCGUAAAGCGCGCGCAGGCGGAUAGGUCAGUCUGUCUUAAAAGUUCGGGGCUUAACCCCGUGAUGGGAUGGAAGCUGCCAAUCUAGAGUAUCGGAGAGGAAAGUGGAAUUCCUAGUGUAGCGGUGAAAUGCGUAGAUAUUAGGAAGAACACCAGUGGCGAAGGCGACUUUCUGGACGAAAACUGACGCUGAGGCGCGAAAGCCAGGGGAGCGAACGGGAUUAGAUACCCCUGUAGUCCCUGUCUCUUAUACA
This 301-nucleotide ribosomal RNA is filed under the name uncultured bacterium. RNAcentral describes it as "partial 16S ribosomal RNA". It matches the Rfam family "Bacterial small subunit ribosomal RNA", at positions 509 to 809 of the family's 1533-position model. The record is from RNAcentral.